Long non-coding RNA from Helianthus annuus (common sunflower), 2220 nucleotides. RefSeq lists it as uncharacterized. The transcript is spliced from 2 exons. The record is from RefSeq and is a predicted model, not a curated record. Lineage: Eukaryota; Viridiplantae; Streptophyta; Magnoliopsida; Asterales; Asteraceae.
GCUGCUAACCGGUCAAAAAAAAACAAACUGUUGCUUGCUUGCUGCUAACUGGGGACGAGGAGAACAGAAGAAACAAAACGCAGGUGCGGCUUCAACUCUUGCUUGCUUCGUUCGACUAAUCGACUUUGAGGAGACGAGGUUGGGCUGCUCUAAACGAUUAAUCGGCUUCAACUCUUCAAGAUUACGCUAUGGGGAAAAACAAAAUCAUAACUUCUUUUUUUAAAGAAAGAAUGAAGAACAAGUUGAUGGAAACAAUGAGAUUAAACGGCAAAAAGAUGUCAGAUCAGUAUCUAGCAAACAGUAUGGUGAUUUACAUAGAAAAGGAGAUUGCUGAGAACUUUGAUUCGGAGUCCAUAAUUGAAGAAUUCAAAAAUCUUAAAGGAAGACGAGCAGAACUAUAAUUCUUCAUCUAAGAGAACCGGCCACCGGGUACCCACCUUCCUCUUCUUUUUAAUGUUUUCGUGUCUUUGUUCAAUUGUUUGUUAAACAAUGUUUACGUUUUAAUGUUUGAGAACGUAUUUUAUUUGAUAUUAAUAUUUGCCCGAUCCGACCCGAAUAGAAUCACCGACGUCCGACCCAAACAUAGAAUUUUUUUUUAGGUCCGGUAACUUCCGCCCCCCCCCCCGAACAUUUUUUUCAAGCUUCGCCACUGCCUCAUGUUAUGUACUAUCAAUUACAUCAAUUCCACAAUCCGAAUCACAUUAACAGGUGGGCACCACGUUAACCAACUAGGAAAUUCCAUUGGUGAGCCUUAAAAUGCUUUAAAUGGGAUAUAUUUAAUCAAGAUGUAUAGGUAAUUAGCCAUUGGUGUGCCUUAAUAUCCUUUGAAUGGAUAUUUUGAUUUGUCAUUAUUGUCCGUUUAUGGCUCGAAUUGCUUGGUCUGAUCUUUUUGGGUUGUUAUUUUGGUGGUUGAAUCUGAUUUAUUUUCACAUGCAUAGGUUAUGAGUCAUUGGUGAAUGUUGUAUGUGAUAUGUUAGAGUUUGAGGUUUGUAUGUGAUAUAUAUAGGCGAUGACCCAUUGGUGAGCCUUAAGAUACUUUGAAUGGGUGUUCGGAUCUGCCUGGCUUGGAUCACUCGGUCUGACCCUUUGGGGUUAUUAUUUUGGUGGUUGAAUCUUAUUUAUUUUUGUACAUGCAUAGGUGAUGAGUCAUUGGUGAACCUUGUAUGUGAUACGUAAGAGUUUGAGCUUUGUAUUUGAUAUGUAUAGGCGAUGACCCAUUGGUGAGCCUUAAGAUGCUUUGAAUAAAUGUUCAGAUCCAUUGUUGUUGUCCCUUUAUAGCUCAGUUUGUUUGGUUUGAGCUUUUUGGGUUAUUAUUUUGAUGUUUGAUGUAGGCCAUGAGCCAUUGGUGAGCUUGUACGUGAUAUGUUAUUAAACAUGCUUUGAAUGGGUGCUUCGAUCUGUGAUUGCUGUCUAUUUUUAGCUGAGAUUGCUUGGUUUUUGUUGUUGCCUAUGAUUGUGCGUUCGGAUCUGUCAUUUAUGUGACUUUUUUACGACAGUUUGAUUUGUUUUUAUUGUAGCUUAUGCAUAUGUAUUUAUUCAUUAUUGGCAGUGCACGUGUUUGUAUUCCUGCUUGUUUUUUUUCCUUUUUGUAGAUCAGAUUACUUUGUCUUUGUCAUUGCCUAUGAUGGGGGCAACAAAAUCUUUGGGAACCUGGAAGGGUUACAAAGAGUGGAAACGAACUGAAAAAGUUUUAGGUGCUUGGGAUCAAACGGUGGUCAAAGGUGAAGAACCCAUAUGGCUUGAAAAGAAAAGUUAAAUUGAAGCCGAAGAGUCGGGAUUAGGUUUGUGGGGCCAAAAGGUGGUCGAAGGGGAUGGAGCUAGAUGGGGAGAAGAGACAAGUCGAACCAACACCGCAACGAGUUUGGGGUCAGGUUCGUGGGGCCACGAAGAGGCUAAACAAAAACCAGGUUGAUGGACCUGUAAGACUAAAAAAUCAGACUAGGGUGGUGGUUGGAAGAAGAAGGAAGGUUUGGGUCCAAAACGAGACCCACCGGCUAGACCAAUUGAAGGGCUAAAUGAUAGUCCAAGACGAGCUAACCGAGCGUGUCACCAAGAUGCAUGGAAACAGCCCAAGCUUCCAACUGAAAUAAACACGCCAUAUGCACGUUAUGCACAAUCUAUUGGUGUAGAAAAAAUUACUAGAAAGUAUAUAUUUUAUUAUCUUUAAACAUUGAUUGUAAAUUUUGUAAUGUUUAUAUUAUAGCGAUCAAUGUUAAAAUC